AGGUGUCUUCUGCUUUGCGGCAUCUAACCUCCCUCGAGAAGCUUGUCUUCUUGGCUUGUGAGGAGCUUGAUUUAACUGAUUCAAAGGAUCAUAGUGAUAUGCGGUGGCAGUACCUUAGAAGCCUCCGGGAGCUUCAAUUGAUAAAUUUGAACAAAUUGGCGUCCCUCCCAAAGGGACUUAAACAUGUUCCCACUCUGCGCAAACUCUUAAUCAAAAGUUGUCCUAAAUUGCAGUCAUUACCAGGGUGGAUGGAAAGCCUCACCAAAUUACAAUAUUUAUGGAUUAAAUUAUGUCCUCUGCUAUCAGAAAGAUGCAAAAGCAACAUUUGUGCUGAUUGGGCCAAAAUUGCUCACAUCCCAAAUAUUAGUGUUGACGAUAGAUGGAUUCAAGUGGAUGGCUGCUACAAACUAUGAUCAGAAGAAUCAGAUCGACUUCUCUUAGUAUAGCUUGCAAUAUUCUUGCUUAAAUCUCAGAGCAGUUGUUCAUAGAUGUUAAAGAAUUGGUGUAUAACCAUGGCAAUUGGUGGAUGUACUUGCUACCGCUUCUGAACUUUAGGAUGGGGAUUCAUUGAGUAGCUUCAUACAUGAAAUUUUGAUGAAGGGCAUUGUCAUUGAUUAACUUCUCUUUACAUUCCUUUUUAGUUUUAACUGGAGUUGCCACUAUGAAGAAGUCCAACAAUCCCUUGUAGCUGGAAAAAUGGUGUUUUUGAAGGACUGAAGAGAAUUUUUCCAUUUAGGAGUGUCUUCUACAGCCAAAGAUGUCAAAAAUAGGUUUUCAAGCUGAAUUAUGCAUUGACCAAACUGUGCAUAACUUGCCGCAUAAGCUAUGCAGAUCUGCAUAAGGAGAAAGAUCACUGUUCCAGAACCAGCCGAAAUGUGCAUAAGGAGACAGCAUAGCUUAUGCACAUUCUCACCUCCCUUAUGCACCUUCACGGAAUUGUGCAUAACCUAUGCACCAAGUCAUGCAGUUUCGCAUAAGUGACUCAG
Molecule: RNA transcript, 986 nt
Organism: Hevea brasiliensis (rubber tree)
Lineage: Eukaryota; Viridiplantae; Streptophyta; Magnoliopsida; Malpighiales; Euphorbiaceae
Exons: 4
Source: RefSeq, a predicted model, not a curated record